This is a long non-coding RNA of Varroa destructor (honeybee mite), 1289 nucleotides long. RefSeq lists it as uncharacterized. The record is from RefSeq and is a predicted model, not a curated record. NCBI's taxonomy places the organism in Eukaryota, Metazoa, Arthropoda, Arachnida, Mesostigmata, Varroidae.
UUCGCGGCAAAUCCGGUCGAGUGAUUCAGCACUAUAAAAUGUCGAUUUUUAGUAAAACUGCGAUAGAACAGCUAAAUUUGCUAUAUGGUGAUUAAAUGUUAAAAAUAAGGGAGAGUACUCAAACCCGUCAUAUACUACAUUAGCUGUGUCGGUGAAGCAAGAUGGCCGAGCCUUGAGCCUUCCUGUAUCGCCGACGUCGAAGGCCGUAAUCUCGCGACAACAGAGGAGCAACAACGUGUGAGCAAGAAGUUCUCUGAAAUCGAUGCAUAAUUAUCAAUCUGAGCUGUUAAAACAAUUGCUCGAUGAUAAUCUACUAUCACAGAUGUGUACCUUAGAAGCUGCCGCGUGAAGAACUCCAUAUCCUCUGGAGGACGUUACGAUGGGCGGAUGAUGGACCGCUUCAAUCGCUGGUCUUCCAUCGUCAUAUGGGAUACAAUGAUGUACGAUUCGGGACCGCCUUCGAGCGUUUCGUGUAAUACAUGUCGUACAAGCUCUGAUACCCUGCUGAAGUAAAUGGGCCGACAAAGCGGAGUUCCUCUUGGCCUUGUCUUUCUUACGCCUACUUAACAGACGUCGUAUAUUUAAUGCUGUGCUAAGCUAGCUGGUAAAAUGUACGUAUCACAGAAGAUUGACAGCUUUUACAGUAAAAAUAACGACUGCAAAAAACAGACACGAAAAUCGGAUGUGCAUCACGUGCACACACGUAUACACAACGGAUAGCAUGUGUCAGAUCACGAUCGACCAGAGCUGACUUGGUGGGGGUACAAACACCAGUCGGGACGCGUACAUCGGAAGGAAACACAGGGUGAGUCAUGUGUGUGUGUUCGUAAUCAAAAUUCACUCUUUAUGCGUGGCCGUAAAAGCGUUAUACCUAUCCCCUAACUGUGUCCCUAAUACACUUAAACUCACGAAAGAGAUCUAGAUUUGAAGAUACGCUUCGUUUGAGAGAGAAAAUCAAUUUUCUGAAACAACGCCUUAUGGCUGCACUGGACAUAAAAACGCCGCGCAUUUGUCUAAUCUAUUAUGGGUGUUGGGUGUAAUCAAUGCACAUUAUGAAGGUCUUAGAUCGUUAGAAACCCACAGCCGAUAAUUCGAAAAUAGCGAUUGUAAAAGCGAAGCGUUGAUCGAAAUAUAUAGGCAUUGUUAAAAUGUCUGCAGCACAUAUAUAAACAAUCAUUUUUUUACGCACAUCAACUUUUCCAUACAAAUUUCUCCGUAACUGGCAAUUUUCGGCCGAAACGUAGCUCUAAAAGGACGAUCCCGUUGAUAAGUGGAGAUUAUGAAUGUAU